GGGCAGGUGUGUGCAACACCUCCCUCAGACAUUCUCCCAGGCUCUCACCAUUUUCAGCCCAAGGGACUUCCAAAGCCUGAUGGUGCUCACUUUCUGCUGUGAACCAUAAUGAGCUAUUUCAUCCCUGUGCAGCUCCAACCCACAAGUCUUGAAGGCCUUGUACCAUAGGUGCAUGAGAUAUUCCAUCUAUGUUGGUACAUCUGGUCAGAAGAGAGAAGAAAAGUAAUUCAGAGGGCAAAAUAAAACUUCAAGCAGAGUCUUCUGGAAGCACCCAAGAGGAAAUACCAGUCAGAGACCUGCCUGGAGUAGCCAAGGUUUGCCUUUUAGGACUGGCAUUUUAGGAAUAUACAUCACUAAUAUAAGAAAAAGAGAGAUCCCUUAAUUCCUUGGAGAAGCAGUACCUCUGGAACCAGAUAAAAUGUCUGCAGUAAAAGCUGAAUACAAGUAAAAUUCAUUCACAUUUAAUGUUCCAUUCUAACUUUCAGGGUCACCUAGAUUAGAUUUAAAGUCUGUCCAAUACUUCAUAUGAGCCUGAAGUUUGAGAAAAACAGGAAGGACUUUUGUUUUUUCACAUUAUGUAGAUGGAACAGUGGUCAGGUAUCAGUGCUCAAAAAAACCUUGAAAAAGUGUGACUUGAGAGAGCAGAUUUAUUUUGUUCAUAUUUUUAUCAUGCCUUUACACCACUUCCCAAAUGAAAGCUUGGGGUAUUAAAUGGGGUGACUGAAUUUACCAGCACUUCUGUAACAAGAUCUUUAGACCACCCAACAUCUUACAAUGAAAGAUCAAUUUCUAUCAUCAUCUUACACAAAAUGUUUGUUUAAAAGUUGAAUUCCCACUUUGUGCCUCUGAACAAUGCAAUAACAUCCUCUUGCUUUUUGUGUUUUCUGGCCCAGGUAAGCUUUGGAUUCUUAUUCAAACCACUCUGUAUUCCAAACCCAAGCCCCUACCUCCCCUCAUCCCAGGUAGACAUUUGCAUCCUUUAAAUUAUGUUGUUUAUUCUAUGUGUUGGAAUACAGUUAUCUGAAUAUUAAUUAUGAUUUUAGUGAAGUUCAUCGGUUGAAUGAAGGAAUUGAGAAUUCUUCCUUCGGUUGCAGCCACCUGCCCAGAUUUCUGUGUUUAUCUGCUUCACUGAGUUUAAAUCAGUUUCUGUAAGUGAAAGUCUGUUGCUUUGAGCAGAUGUUAAUGCUCAGAAAUAGUGUACAGUCUGCCAUUAGCAUAUGUAGCAUAACACUAAUAAAUAGAGGCAUGUACCACCCUUGAAGGUGAUUCUGAUUUCAAUAAAGAAAUCUUCCCCUCCAUCCUGCCAGCCCCUUUCCUUAGGGAAGCCUCUGGCAUAUACAGCUGUUAAAAGUGAGGAAUCUUCCUCCCACCCCUGGAAAGACCUUAGCAAAUGGUCCAUUCUGUUUAUGCUACAUUUGGAUGAUUAAUGAUAUUGUAUAGUGUAACUAAAUUGUACUGCUAUUAUCAUCAGGUCACUGCUGACAAUUAGAUAUAUCAUCUCUGGGGUUCAUAUACAGAUAACAAUUUUAACUAUGUGGAUAAGUAAAGGUUUGAUGGUGUCCUGAUGUUAAUGUAAAUAUUACCACAUAUUGGAAAUCAGUAAUGCACCACAUGCGGGGAUCGCGUUGCACAGCAGCGGCUGCCAGAGAGCUGGAGCUGGUGAGAUGGUUGCAACAGUGGUUUUCUGCUUUAUCGUCCUUGUUAAUUUUUUUCCCUUCCCUCAGGGUUUGGAACAAUCCAUCUGUAAAACAUGACAGCCAUUUAGGCUCUAAGGAACCCAGCAGCUUUCAAGCAAAGCUGUAAUCAAACAGAUUUGGGAUGUUUUGGGUUUUGGGAGAGGGGAAGUUCAGUUACCUCAGUGCUUUUCUGGCUCCAUGUACAAGGCUUAGAGCUCCAGCACUAAAGCAGAGUCACUGGAAGAAAGUUGCUGUUUGUGCAUGUCCAGCUUAGCCAUGAGAAUGAGGAAAUCUGAGAAAAUCAGGUCCUGAAAGUCUCUUCAUGUUUAGUCUCGAGAACAGAUCAGUGCUCCUAAUCCUGGCAGCUGCAAGUAACCAUUUGAGAGAGAGGUCGUAUUAAGUCAAGACAAAAAAUGUGAGAAAGGACUUAUUGCAGAAAUGUAACAUUACAGCUCCUGGCUAAAGUUGAAAGUAUAUUGAAAAGGUUUAGAGGAGCAAGAAUUCAAAUUGAGCAAAGCCUCUGCCCCUUUUACUAUUCAUCUAUCAAUAACUGGCACAUGUCAUGUUAGGGCACAUACUAUAAAUUAAUUUUCUCGCUAAUAUUAAGAAACUUUAUUGCACCAAUCCUUAUCUUCAUAAAUCCUGAUAUAUACCAAGAGCAAAGAACAUGGAAGUCACUGCAAUAAUAUCAGAAGAAAACUGGAACAUGAUAAAAAUCAGCUUUACGGGCCUUGCAUUUCCAUCAGUCUAAUUCCCAUUUCAUAGGGAGGAAAACAUAGCAAUCUGCACUCCAAAAGAGAAAAGAAUCACUUGAUCAGAGCCCCCAACUGAUUUAUACUCACAAUUUCCUUCUGAGAUAGCAGCAGCGGAUGUGAAAAGCAAAGACUACGGAUAAUUCUGUUCUCCCCCACAUGAGAAGGGAAAGAUUUUCCUAAACUCAAGAAAUUACUGGAGUCAGAUUCAUUGGACAAUGGUUAUUUUUAAGUGGCUUGAGCUAUCCACUUCCAUCAUUUCAGGUGGGUGCUAUAUCCCAUUUUCCACAGAGGAAGGCACUAAAAAUGAGAACGUUUUUGCACAGAAAUAAACAUACAAGCUGAGUUCACACUUCAGUGAUUAUUGCAUACCUUGUCUGCUAAUUAAAUAAUGGGAUAUAAAUUAAAGUAAAAGCAAAAUACAAAACAAAAAAAGAAACAACUAAAAAUGCUCAUCUUGUUAGACAAUAGUUGCUCAUCUUGUUAGAGAGCUGAAUCUGUGCUGCAGGAGCAGACCUCCUGUUGCUAAAUUUUUACAGAUGCCCAGAAACUGACAAAACAAAUAACCCAAACAAAACCAAAGCAGAUCCUAGAGCACCCAUGGUUGUGCAAUAAGAAAACAGAGAGGGUCACAAGUAGAUAUUAGCUUCCAACUAAUCAACACAGAUGAGAGCACAAUUUCACUUGACAUCCUAGACCUCUUGGGAAAGGGAUUCAUCUUCAAGACAGUGUUUGGAUCUCUGGGCAGAGGUACCCAAUUUCUGUGGGUCUCAGAAUAAAAAAGCAAAUUUCUUCUCUGGUCCAAGCACACCUCUGCUGUCAAAUCAGUCCACUCAACAAUUUAAGAGAGAGAAAAUAAGGAAUGAGUAGUAUAAAUUCAUUUUUAUUCCACUGAUGUUCCCUUGCUCAUUAUUUGCAGUUAUUGAUCUGCAACUCAUGGAGAAGGCCAGAAACAGUAAAGGAUAAAGGUAAGCCCAAAAAACAUUGCUGUUCUAGAAGCUGGAGGGCAGAGGAGCGACAAGGAAGAAGAGCAGCAAGAGAAAGGGAGAACAGAGAAAGGAAGAGAAAAUUAGAAACAGAGCAAACACGAUUAAGUUUCAUCUGACUUAUUGGAUGUACACUUGGAAAGCAAAAGGCAGAGAGAGGAAGGGGAGAGAGAACAUGAACUGCAGCAAGUUCUGUCCUGAGGCUCCAUGCAAAGGUUUUGUCAGAGACUCUCUGAGGUUGGUGUCACUUCGCAUGAUGUGUAGCUUUAAUGAAAGAAGGAGGGGGCCAGGCAGGAGGAAAGGGAAAAAGGAAAAGUGACUGAGACUCUCUGUCUCUUGCUCAGUCUCUGCUUCAGAGACCUAUUGGCCAUAACUCUUGCAGGGCAAAUAACAAGCGUUCUCCAUCCAAAUGUACGCACAUUGGCACUUAAUCCUAUUUUAUAAAGGUUAUAGUUUUACAUAAAUCACUCACUUUAAAUGCACUUUAGUAAUCCUCCUCAUGUUAAGUUUCCCUUUAAGCCUAACUAGGCAAGGAGGAUUUCUCCCACUGGCCCUCUGGACAUGACGCCACCAAGAUUGAACUAUGCUCUCCAUCUUUAAUAUCCCUGGAGGGAUUCAUCUAUAAUGAUGUCAGGGGCUAAGCAUAUUCCCUUGCCAGGGUGGGGAAAUUAUAUCUGUCCUUUUCCGUCUCACUCAGGUCCAGCACAGCUAAAAACAAGUUGUUUGGAGACCAGAGAAAGCUGGUGAUGUUUCACUUUUGGUGUCUUGCUCUCCAUGCAGAUUCCCUAAUGUCUACUAAAGAGUGAGCUUAGCAGACUUUUCUUUGGUGAUUUCACUAUCAGUCAGCCCAUUAAUGAAGUUUAUAACAGGCACUGAGACUUCUGCUCUCUAUCGUAUCAUGUCGAAUUCACCCAGUGAUUCUCAGGGUUACACUGGAAGGACCGACUGUCAGACGGAGUCAGCCCUAGGUAGGCAGACAGCAUAUUGCUUGAAAAAAAACCACAUUUCACUGAGGAAUCAGCUUAAAAGUACUACUGACAUAAUUGCUGCAAGUCAUCUUUUACAUGUUCUCACACAGAUGCAUCCCUGAUGUGGAAGGCACGCUCAAGUUCCUGCAUAUUUUCCUAAUGAGUUCUGUGUUUGUUUCAUAGCAGGGUACACAGGCUGUUGAAUCAUCAAGCACUCAAGGAGCUUCAUGAGCUUUGACCAAGUUAGGUACAAUUAUUUUAACAACUUCAGAGCAGAAGUACACUACUCCAGCUGUUACCUUUACAUUUUUAGUGAGAAGUUAGUCAAGCAGAAUGAAGUAUCCUGCCAUGGACACAGAGCUUCAUGUGGCCAGAACAGAACUUGAUUUCUUUCAGCUAGCAUAGUUGAGCUAUCUCUGUGGUCCUUCACUUUAAGCACCUUAAAUUAAAGGCACCUUUAAUUGAAACCUUUCUUCUCAACACAGAUAUCCAUUUUCAUAGCAUUUCUUCCAGUUUAGUCACUCAGAUUUAGUCACUCACCUCGUCAGGUUUUCUGAAGUUGAAUAGAUUUUAAGAAAUCAUUGGAAUUGAGUACAGGAGAGUCAGAGACAGUAACACCACCAUCAGUAGGCUAAUGAAAAUUAAUCUAAAAAUACACUCUCUUUACAAGGAGAGAAGGUAGGUAACCAACAUUAGCUGGCAGGAGGAUUGCUCCUCAAGUUGUCUUGAUCUCUUUCUGAUCAAGUUUCUGGUAAUCUGCAAGAAUACCCGAAUUUAUUGUGAGGAAUCCAGAAACCUUUUUCAGUUUUCCACUAGCACAGAUUUUACCUAGCCUUUGUGUUUAAGAAACGAUUUAUGAGAUCCAGGUUUAAAUGAGUGUCUCUGCCUAGCACUAGAAGAGAAGCUGAUGCAACAGGAAGCAGCUCUUUUGUUCUUUCUGGCCUUUGUUCACCAGGCAAGAGACAGUUUAUGUGACUUCUAGUCAACCGAUGCAAAACCACGAGCCAUUGAACUAUAUUCCCAGAGUCUGAUUCAGAACACGAUUGUAAAUAGAUGACGCUCCACUGAAAUCAUUGCUGUUUAACUCUCCCCACCAACUCUUUGACUCUUCACAAUCUUCAACUCCGAUUCUAGCUCCAAAUUAACAUUAACAGCACAUAAUCUGUCUUAACGGAAAACUAAGGACAGAUAGGAGAUGAAAAGCUUGAACUCCUCUGCAGAGAGCAAUCUCACACCUCUGAAAUCCUCAAGCUUUCUAUGUCACCCUCAGCUUAAAUGACUGUAGAAGGCUAAAAAGGAGUGAAAUUCACCCACAAACAACAUGAAGAAAAUUUUUACUUGCCAGUCAGUGACGAUUCAUGCAUUAGCAAAUUCACGGGAAGUUCAAAGCUGCCUAGUUCUGUCACCAGCUUUGCACAGCUGGGAGAAACUCCAUUUUCUUGCAAUUGUAAUGACAUUCUACUACAAGAGUAAGAAUAAAUUUGUUUUAUAUCAGACAACCAAUAGAAAUAAUUCAUAAGUUUUCCUUAUGCAAUAUGGUUGCAUUUGGAAAACUCAACUGCAAUCAGUGCCCCACAGUGCAAGGUACUGUUCAUUCUUUAACAAAAAGCCAAGAGAAACAAAAGAGAGGAAGUCAUACACUCACACUCAAGGCUGUGCAGCAACUCAGCAGCCAAGGGAAAAAAUGAACUUUUGAAACUUUUUGAACUUUUUGAAAGUUUUUUGACCACCAGCCCAGUGUUCCUUAUGCUGCACUAUUCCCUCUGCCAUCAGUGAGGUCAGAGAGGUUUUUAUAUUUAUGCACUUCACAAUAUCAUCAUGCAAGAGUACCUCACAGCCUAUAUUCUUGUUUUUUCCCAAGAAAGUAAAAGCUGCUUCUGUUCCCAGUAAUGUAAGAAAAAUUGAGAUAUAGGGAAAAGCUGGAGCUACAGCAAUAAAUAAAUAAAUAAAUAAAUAAAUAAAUAAUGUCUAGACCAUAAUUUGUGGUGCUUAUGUCCCAACCUCAAAGGCCCCGCUCAGUUUCUACUCAACCCCAAAAGCACCUAUUCCAUCAGCAUAAAUACUCCUUUUCUAAUGAAUCCAUAUCUUGGAACAGGGCCCAGAUCUGAGGUCUCCUCUGAGUUGCAUAAAUGCCCUAACCAGAGCAUCAUUUUCUCAAAUCUCUGGUCCAAAAUUAAGACACAAGAAGAAGCAAAACAUUUUUAUCUCCUGCUAUUGCAGCAUCCAAAGCACCACCUUGAUACUUUUUGGUGCACACUGUUUUGGGAACAGUAGUCUCUGUCACAUCAAAUCACUGCCAUGUACUUUGUGGGGCACUCAGUCACCUGUACUGGCCUAGAGAGCCACUUCCAGCACCAGCAUCCCCCAGCUGUCCGCAGCACACCCAGAGCAGCUGCCUGCUCCCCUCUCUGCUGAGAUCCCCAACAAAAAAUUCUCUCUCCACACAAAUAUACAAGACAAACGUUUAUCUGAAAUGUUUAGGGCAUUGGGUUUUCUGAAGAUUUUCUGUUAAAACCUCCUUGGCACUAAAAACCAGGCUGGGUCAUGGAAACACAAAGCUUCUAAGUUUCUCUAAGUUAACAGAAAAAAAAAAAAAAAAAAAAAAAAAA
Molecule: long non-coding RNA, 6991 nt
Filed under: Taeniopygia guttata (zebra finch)
Lineage: Eukaryota; Metazoa; Chordata; Aves; Passeriformes; Estrildidae
Description: lncRNA (ENSTGUG00000019954.1)
Source: RNAcentral